RNAcentral lists this ribosomal RNA (492 nucleotides) under uncultured bacterium. RNAcentral describes it as "partial 16S ribosomal RNA". It matches the Rfam family "Bacterial small subunit ribosomal RNA", at positions 29 to 507 of the family's 1533-position model. The record is from RNAcentral.
AGUGAGCGCUGGCGGUAGGCCUAACACAUGCAAGUCGAACGGCAGCACAGUAAGAGCUUGCUCUUACGGGUGGCGAGUGGCGGACGGGUGAGGAAUACAUCGGAAUCUACUUUUUCGUGGGGGAUAACGUAGGGAAACUUACGCUAAUACCGCAUACGACCUACGGGUGAAAGCAGGGGAUCUUCGGACCUUGCGCGAUUGAAUGAGCCGAUGUCGGAUUAGCUAGUUGGCGGGUUAAAGGCCCACCAAGGCGACGAUCCGUAGCUGGUCUGAGAGGAUGAUCAGCCACACUGGAACUGAGACACGGCCCAGACUCCUACGGGAGGCAGCAGUGGGGAAUAUUGGACAAUGGGCGCAAGCCUGAUCCAGCCAUACCGCGUGGGUGAAGAAGGCCUUCGGGUUGUAAAGCCCUUUUGUUGGGAAAGAAAAGCAGCAGGUUAAUACCCCGCUGUUCUGACGGUACCCAAAGAAUAAGCACCGGCUAACUUCGUG